Non-coding RNA from Parelaphostrongylus tenuis, 73 nucleotides. NCBI's taxonomy places the organism in Eukaryota, Metazoa, Nematoda, Chromadorea, Rhabditida, Metastrongylidae. The record is from the annotation of a GenBank genome assembly.
GCGUCGGUGGUGCAGCGGUUCAGCACAGGCUUCCGGAGAGCGUGAGAUCUGGGUUCGAUUCCCGGCUGAGGCA